This 259-nucleotide long non-coding RNA is filed under the name Elaeis guineensis (African oil palm). Its description in RNAcentral is "long non-coding RNA (EGUI_LNC078147)". The record is from RNAcentral. Lineage: Eukaryota; Viridiplantae; Streptophyta; Magnoliopsida; Arecales; Arecaceae.
UUGUGUUGCCAUAUUAAAUAAUUAAUAAUUACAAUUUAACAUUAGAGGUGGUAAUUUUAGCUGAUUCAUAUAGGUAUUCUAUCCGAUCUAAUCCUUGUGGAAUAAGUUUAUUCUAUCUAAUUUGACCUUUAUGGAACAAAUUUUACUUGACCCAUUUAAACUCAAGGGUGGAGAUGAAUUUUAAUUCUGAUACUCGAAGUGAAUGCAAGUAAUAAUAAGGCCUACCCCAAACUUGACCUGAUAUAAUAAUCCUAAGUGC